AUUCAAAACAGCACCAUGUAUGUUGACUGUUGACAGACCUCCAAGUCUCAAAGUGACAACGUCUUUGAAUUUGAUGACAUUGUGCCAACAUGGAUUUUAAUGUCGUGCAGCACACUCAUAAACUAAAACGAUGUGCAAAUUGCACAUUGCACACCGUUAAUUCGCACACUGGACUUAAGAAGACAGUACAGUUCUAGUUUCUUUCAUACCUUAAUAUCAUAGUUAAUAACAUAACGUUGUUGUGAUGUACUCAGGUAUAAUAACAAGAUAAUCAUUGUCUUCAUGGUUCUACCAACUGAACUAGAAGAUCAACUGUGGACUAUGAUGAUAUUUUAAAACACAGUUCAACAUAGUUUCUUUUAGCCAAAAACUCUUUCAUAGUUUCUUUUAAUCUUUUUACCUUUUUCUAAAUUAUUAUAGUAGUGGCAUUUCUUGAUUUCAACUUUAGCACGACACAACUGCAUCUGAAAAGUUUGAAGAGAUACAGAGAGUUGCACAUUUAAGCAUAAUUCUUGGAUACAGGCAGAGUGUCUUGAUAAAAAAAUGGUCAGAUGGCCACAGUAUCUUAAUUGAGACAUAAAUGCUAAUUAAAUGUCCAUGGCAGUAUUGAGAGUAAACUGAAAUUAAUAACCAA
Molecule: long non-coding RNA, 634 nt
Organism: Xenia sp. Carnegie-2017
Lineage: Eukaryota; Metazoa; Cnidaria; Anthozoa; Malacalcyonacea; Xeniidae
Exons: 3
Source: RefSeq, a predicted model, not a curated record